RNAcentral lists this ribosomal RNA (253 nucleotides) under uncultured bacterium. RNAcentral describes it as "partial 16S ribosomal RNA". It matches the Rfam family "Bacterial small subunit ribosomal RNA", at positions 524 to 776 of the family's 1533-position model. The record is from RNAcentral.
UACGGGGGGGGCAAGCGUUGUCCGGAAUUAUUGGGCGUAAAGCGCGUGUAGGCGGCUUUGCAAGUCGGGUGUGAAAGCCCUCAGCUCAACUGAGGAAGUGCGCCCGAAACUGCAGAGCUUGAGUGCCGGAGAGGGUGGCGGAAUUCCCCAAGUAGAGGUGAAAUUCGUAGAUAUGGGGAGGAACACCGGUGGCGAAGGCGGCCACCUGGACGGUAACUGACGCUGAGGCACGAAGGCCAGGGGAGCAAACGGG